This 717-nucleotide ribosomal RNA is filed under the name Cryobacterium sp. Y4_509_2. Its description in RNAcentral is "bacterial SSU rRNA". It matches the Rfam family "Bacterial small subunit ribosomal RNA", at positions 54 to 774 of the family's 1533-position model. The record is from RNAcentral. Lineage: Bacteria; Bacillati; Actinomycetota; Actinomycetes; Micrococcales; Microbacteriaceae.
CAUGCAGUCGACGGUGAGAGGAGCUUGCUCCUUGGAUCAGUGGCGAACGGGUGAGUAACACGUGAGCAAUCUGCCCUUGACUCUGGGAUAACUGCGGGAAACUGUAGCUAAUACCGGAUAUUACCUUGGAAGGCAUCUUCUGGGGUGGAAAGAAUUUUGGUCAAGGAUGAGCUCGCGGCCUAUCAGCUAGUUGGUGAGGUAAUGGCUCACCAAGGCGACGACGGGUAGCCGGCCUGAGAGGGUGACCGGCCACACUGGGACUGAGACACGGCCCAGACUCCUACGGGAGGCAGCAGUGGGGAAUAUUGCACAAUGGGCGCAAGCCUGAUGCAGCAACGCCGCGUGAGGGACGAAGGCCUUCGGGUUGUAAACCUCUUUUAGUAGGGAAGAAGCGACUGGGUUUUCCUGGGAGUGACGGUACCUGCAGAAAAAGCACCGGCUAACUACGUGCCAGCAGCCGCGGUAAUACGUAGGGUGCAAGCGUUGUCCGGAAUUAUUGGGCGUAAAGAGCUCGUAGGCGGUUUGUCGCGUCUGCUGUGAAAACCCGAGGCUCAACCUCGGGCCUGCAGUGGGUACGGGCAGACUAGAGUGCGGUAGGGGAGAUUGGAAUUCCUGGUGUAGCGGUGGAAUGCGCAGAUAUCAGGAGGAACACCAAUGGCGAAGGCAGAUCUCUGGGCCGUAACUGACGCUGAGGAGCGAAAGCAUGGGGAGCGAACA